UCAAAGAUAAUUUAUGUCACGUCAUUUAAAUUCAAAUCUAGCAUAAAAAAGUGACCGAUCAUAAACAUUACAACUCACAACGAAAAACACUUAUUAAGUAUACCAAGUAAAUUAUGUGAUUAAAUAUACCAACUAAAAUUAAAAUUAUACUCCUUAAUAUUUUAGUAAGAUCAAAUAAAAAUAAAUAAGUAUAAAUGUUUGGUAUAAAACUGUCACUUUUAUUUUGCCUUGUUCCAAAAAAUUUGAAUGGAUAAUUUGUAAGGGGUAGGCUAGUGGAGCCUAUAUAGGAAGUUCUGCAUUGCAAGUUCAAAAUGUGAAAAAGGUCAAAUUGCAUGUCACUUCUGUUGCUUCGAGAGAGGAUGUGACAUCACGUGAUAAUAAUUCGCAAGAGAGAUUUAAGUAUCUUACAAUCUCAAUUUUGUUAAUGUUCAUAAAAGAAUUUAAAAUGCAAGUUGACCUUAGAUUUUCAUUUCAAGAGGUUGCGCAUUAUCAUCGAACGCACAUUACAUGAAAAAAGAGAAACCGGAGUGCAUCCGCUGCGAGGUGGCCGAGUGUCAUGCACGUAUGAGGACCUCCAUGGAUCUUCAUCUUCAUCGCUACUUUGUGCAUCGCUUAGGGCCUAGGUGGUGGAGAAUCACCUAGAGCUAGAUGAGAAAUAGUCAUACCUGGUUGCGCCCUGUUUUUUUUUUCUUUUUGCUACAUUGCUCUUGUUUCUAUGUUGGACAUUAAACUCUUUGUAGGCAUGUUUGUAGUUGUGGAUGUGCAGUGCUCAUACUUUUAAUCUCCUAAUACCUAAACCAUCAAUCAUGCAUGCAAUUUGGACAAUAAUAUUUUCUAUCUUACAAGUUGGAUAUGUAUGUAUUUAUCCUUGUGACGUAUGGUUGGGUAAGAUCGUCCUACAUUUUUUUUCUUUUUUUUGCGGAAAGAUGCGAUAUCCUUCUGCCUUUGCAUCAAGUGAUGUACACAUCCUUUUAUUGAUUUUUUAAAAGUGCAUCAUCCGCCUUUGCAUC
RNAcentral lists this long non-coding RNA (1010 nucleotides) under Hordeum vulgare. RNAcentral describes it as "long non-coding RNA (HVUL_LNC002815)". The record is from RNAcentral. Lineage: Eukaryota; Viridiplantae; Streptophyta; Magnoliopsida; Poales; Poaceae.